This 336-nucleotide unclassified non-coding RNA is filed under the name soil metagenome. RNAcentral's name for it is "partial contains 5.8S ribosomal RNA, internal transcribed spacer 2, and large subunit ribosomal RNA". The stretch from base 1 to 120 matches the Rfam family "5.8S ribosomal RNA", at positions 35 to 154 of the family's 154-position model. The record is from RNAcentral.
GAUGAAGAACGCAGCGAAAUGCGAUAAGUAAUGUGAAUUGCAGAAUUCAGUGAAUCAUCGUAUCUUUGAACGCACAUUGCGCCCGCCAGUAUUCUGGCGGGCAUGCCUGUUCGAGCGUCAUUUCAACCAUCAAGCCCCCGGCUUGUGUUGGGGACCUGCGGCUGCCGCAGGCCCUGAAAAGCAGUGGCGGGCUCGCUGUCACACCGAGCGUAGUAGCAUACAUCUCGCUCUGGGCGUGCUGCGGGUUCCGGCCGUUAAACCACCUUCAUAACCCAAGGUUGACCUCGGAUCAGGUAGGAAGACCCGCUGAACUUAAGCAUAUCAAUAAGCGGAGGA